GGGGACGUCGUAAGGAGACUGCCGGUGAUAAACCGGAGGAAGGUGGGACGACGUCAAGUCAUCAUGGCCCUUAUGACCGGGGCUACACACGUACUACAAUGGUCGGUACAGACGGUCGCAAGCUCGCGAGAGUAAGCUAAUCCGAGAAAACCGAUCGUAGUCCGGAUCGCAGUCUGCAACUCGACUGCGUGAAGUCGGAAUCGCUAGUAAUCGCAAAUCAGAAUGUUGCGGUGAAUACGUUCCCGGGCCUU
RNAcentral lists this ribosomal RNA (251 nucleotides) under uncultured Thiovirga sp. RNAcentral's name for it is "partial 16S ribosomal RNA". It matches the Rfam family "Bacterial small subunit ribosomal RNA", at positions 1131 to 1382 of the family's 1533-position model. The record is from RNAcentral. Lineage: Bacteria; Pseudomonadati; Pseudomonadota; Gammaproteobacteria; Chromatiales; Halothiobacillaceae.